Molecule: transfer RNA, 119 nt
Filed under: Xylaria arbuscula
Lineage: Eukaryota; Fungi; Ascomycota; Sordariomycetes; Xylariales; Xylariaceae
Description: tRNA-Asp
Rfam family: tRNA
About the family: Transfer RNA (tRNA) molecules are approximately 80 nucleotides in length. Their secondary structure includes four short double-helical elements and three loops (D, anti-codon, and T loops). Further hydrogen bonds mediate the characteristic L-shaped molecular structure. tRNAs have two regions of fundamental functional importance: the anti-codon, which is responsible for specific mRNA codon recognition, and the 3' end, to which the tRNAs corresponding amino acid is attached (by aminoacyl-tRNA synthetases). tRNAs cope with the degeneracy of the genetic code in two manners: having more than one tRNA (with a specific anti-codon) for a particular amino acid; and 'wobble' base-pairing, i.e. permitting non-standard base-pairing at the 3rd anti-codon position.
Source: RNAcentral
UCUCGAUUGGUCUAGUGGUGAGGAUACCUGCUUGUCAUUGUAGUCCUGUCUAGUGCUGACGCUAGUGAGACACAUGAAGCAAAACGCAGGUGGCCGGGGUUCGAUUCCCCGAUCGAGAG